UCGAGCGGACAGAUGGGAGCUUGCUCCCUGAUGUUAGCGGCGGACGGGUGAGUAACACGUGGGUAACCUGCCUGUAAGACUGGGAUAACUCCGGGAAACCGGGGCUAAUACCGGAUGGUUGUUUGAACCGCAUGGUUCAGACAUAAAAGGUGGCUUCGGCUACCACUUACAGAUGGACCCGCGGCGCAUUAGCUAGUUGGUGAGGUAACGGCUCACCAAGGCGACGAUGCGUAGCCGACCUGAGAGGGUGAUCGGCCACACUGGGACUGAGACACGGCCCAGACUCCUACGGGAGGCAGCAGUAGGGAAUCUUCCGCAAUGGACGAAAGUCUGACGGAGCAACGCCGCGUGAGUGAUGAAGGUUUUCGGAUCGUAAAGCUCUGUUGUUAGGGAAGAACAAGUGCCGUUCAAAUAGGGCGGCACCUUGACGGUACCUAACCAGAAAGCCACGGCUAACUACGUGCCAGCAGCCGCGGUAAUACGUAGGUGGCAAGCGUUGUCCGGAAUUAUUGGGCGUAAAGGGCUCGCAGGCGGUUUCUUAAGUCUGAUGUGAAAGCCCCCGGCUCAACCGGGGAGGGUCAUUGGAAACUGGGGAACUUGAGUGCAGAAGAGGAGAGUGGAAUUCCACGUGUAGCGGUGAAAUGCGUAGAGAUGUGGAGGAACACCAGUGGCGAAGGCGACUCUCUGGUCUGUAACUGACGCUGAGGAGCGAAAGCGUGGGGAGCGAACAGGAUUAGAUACCCUGGUAGUCCACGCCGUAUACGAUGAGUGCUAAGUGUUAGGG
Molecule: ribosomal RNA, 784 nt
Filed under: Bacillus amyloliquefaciens
Lineage: Bacteria; Bacillati; Bacillota; Bacilli; Caryophanales; Bacillaceae
Description: bacterial SSU rRNA
Rfam family: Bacterial small subunit ribosomal RNA
Source: RNAcentral